UAGGGAAUCUUCCGCAAUGGGCGAAAGCCUGACGGAGCAACGCCGCGUGAGUGAUGAAGGUCUUCGGAACGUAAAACUCUGUUAUUAGGGAAGAACAAAUGUGUAAGUAACUAUGCACGUCUUGACGGUACCUAAUCAGAAAGCCACGGCUAACUACGUGCCAGCAGCCGCGGUAAUACGUAGGUGGCAAGCGUUAUCCGGAAUUAUUGGGCGUAAAGCGCGCGUAGGCGGUUUUUUAAGUCUGAUGUGAAAGCCCACGGCUCAACCGUGGAGGGGAAGGGGAAAGUGGAAAACGGGAGGGAAGAAGAGGAAAGUGGAAGGCCAGGUGUAGCGGGGAAAGGCGCAGAGAUAUGGAGGAACACCAGGGGCGAAGGCGACUUUCUGGUCUGUAACUGACGCUGAUGUGCGAAAGCGUGGGGAUCAAACAGG
This 429-nucleotide ribosomal RNA is filed under the name Actinomycetes bacterium. RNAcentral's name for it is "Actinobacteria bacterium partial 16S ribosomal RNA". It matches the Rfam family "Bacterial small subunit ribosomal RNA", at positions 355 to 776 of the family's 1533-position model. The record is from RNAcentral. Lineage: Bacteria; Bacillati; Actinomycetota; Actinomycetes.